GACGAACCGUGCGAACGUUAUUCGGAUUCACUGGGCGUAAAGGGAGCGUAGGUGGCAUUCUAAGUCUGAUGUGAAAGCUCUGAGCUUAACUCAGAAAUGGCAUUAGAUACUAGUUUGCUUGAGGAUUGGAGGGGAGAUUGGAAUUCUUGGUGUAGCAGUGAAAUGCGUAGAUAUCAAGAGGAACACCAGUGGCGAAGGCGAAUCUCUGGACAAUUCCUGACACUGAUGCUCGAAAGCUAGGGGAGCAAACGGG
This 253-nucleotide ribosomal RNA is filed under the name uncultured bacterium. RNAcentral's name for it is "partial 16S ribosomal RNA". It matches the Rfam family "Bacterial small subunit ribosomal RNA", at positions 524 to 776 of the family's 1533-position model. The record is from RNAcentral.